GGAUUGAACGCUGGCGGCAUGCUUUACACAUGCAAGUCGAACGGUAACAGGCCGCAAGGUGCUGACGAGUGGCGAACGGGUGAGUAAUGCAUCGGAACGUGCCCAGUCGUGGGGGAUAACGCAGCGAAAGCUGUGCUAGACUACCGCAUACGAUCUAGUGGAUAGAAAGGCCGGGGGAACGAAAGGCCUCGCGCGUAGUUGGGAGCCGGCCGAGUGUCGAGUAUUAGCUUAGGUUGGGUAGGGGUAAACGCCCCGAACGAAGGCCGACGAUC
RNAcentral lists this ribosomal RNA (272 nucleotides) under uncultured soil bacterium. RNAcentral describes it as "partial 16S ribosomal RNA". It matches the Rfam family "Bacterial small subunit ribosomal RNA", at positions 27 to 281 of the family's 1533-position model. The record is from RNAcentral.